RNAcentral lists this ribosomal RNA (447 nucleotides) under uncultured bacterium. Its description in RNAcentral is "bacterial SSU rRNA". It matches the Rfam family "Bacterial small subunit ribosomal RNA", at positions 329 to 792 of the family's 1533-position model. The record is from RNAcentral.
UACCAGACUCCUACGGGAGGCAGCAGUGGGGAAUAUUGCACAAUGGGGGAAACCCUGAUGCAGCAACGCCGCGUGAGUGAAGAAGUAUUUCGGUAUGUAAAGCUCUAUCAGCAGGGAAGAAGAAAGACGGUACCUGACUAAGAAGCCCCGGCUAACUACGUGCCAGCAGCCGCGGUAAUACGUAGGGGGCAAGCGUUAUCCGGAUUUACUGGGUGUAAAGGGAGCGUAGACGGCUGUGCAAGUCUGAAGUGAAAGCCCGUGGCUCAACCCCGGGACUGCAUUUGGAACUGUGUGGCUGGAGUGUCGGAGAGGCAGGCGGAAUUCCUAGUGUAGUGGUGAAAUGCGUAGAUAUUAGGAGGAACACCAGUGGCGAAGGCGGCCUGCUGGACGAUGACUGACGUUGAGGCUCGAAAGCGUGGGGAGCAAACAGGAUUAGAUACCCCCGUA